GCCUGCCCAAGGCGGCCAAGAAACAUGCCACGAGCUAAGCAGCGGACCGCUCCCAGCUCCCAAAGAUGCCUGUGGCCACGAGGACAAGCCACAGCCUCCACACAUGAUGGCGCCUGGCAACGACUCAGCCUUCAGCGAGCGCUCAGUCUCCCAGAGCGGACACCUGCAGCCUCCCGACCUCCAAGGGCCUCCCGCUGAGACACCCCCAGUGACCACCAAACUCGGUCCCGCAGCUGACGCCCUGCAAGAACACGGCUCCGCCGCUUCCGCCGCGGAGCCCGACGCCAGACGGGACGCCCUUGCGGCAGCAGAGAGUAGGAGCUCUCUCGCCACGCGGGAGGGUACCAACCCCCCGGAGGAAGAGGCACAGGCAGAAACGCCAUCUGCUGCCCCACGUCCUCCCCUGCACGCGCAGGCGACAGCUGAAGAGCUUUCAGAGCCGGCUGAGCUCACCCACACCGAGCACCGGGCUCCCAGCCCUCCCUGCCCACACCUACCCCACAGCGGCCACCAAGGCGUUCUUGCUGGGCCCCACAGGGAAACGGCCCAACGCGAGCCCACCUCGCCUGCUCCCCCCGACUCUGUCGCCCUCGCUCAACACAGCCUCGAGGACCCCGACACGGCACAGAGGGCACAGAGCCGGCCGACAGCGCAAGCAGCCGCGCACCAACCCACCCAGGAGCUUGCCACAGCCGCCACGCAGGGCACAGCGGCAGACGCUCCGGCCACCGAAGCCCAGGACCGGACCACACGGCGCAGAGACAACCCAGCCCCCACGGAUCAGCAAGGGCCUCAGCCCCACGUGCCUGGGGGCAAAGGGGCUGCCAGCGGGGCUGCUACGCCAGCUUCCCCGGGCAGGGACCAUGAGCCAGGGCACCCGGCGCCAUCUCAGGAACCCCAGUGCCCACAAGAGCGGGCCGUGACCGUCCAAGGCACAAUCCCCCACAUCCAAGGCAGGCCGCUGCACCUGUACACAAACGUCCUCUCAGAGAACCUCGCGGUGCUCUCUAUACAAACC
RNAcentral lists this long non-coding RNA (1018 nucleotides) under Struthio camelus australis. RNAcentral's name for it is "lncRNA (ENSSCUG00000000094.1)". The record is from RNAcentral. Lineage: Eukaryota; Metazoa; Chordata; Aves; Struthioniformes; Struthionidae.